Molecule: ribosomal RNA, 492 nt
Filed under: uncultured bacterium
Lineage: Bacteria
Description: partial 16S ribosomal RNA
Rfam family: Bacterial small subunit ribosomal RNA
Source: RNAcentral
AGUGAACGCUGGCGGUAGGCCUAACACAUGCAAGUCGAACGGCAGCACAGUAAGAGCUUGCUCUUACGGGUGGCGAGUGGCGGACGGGUGAGGAAUACAUCGGAAUCUACUUUUUCGUGGGGGAUAACGUAGGGAAACUUACGCUAAUACCGCAUACGACCUACGGGUGAAAGCAGGGGAUCUUCGGACCUUGCGCGAUUGAAUGAGCCGAUGUCGGAUUAGCUGGUUGGCGGGGUAAAGGCCCACCAAGGCGACGACCCGUAGCUGGUCUGAGAGGAUGAUCAGCCACACUGGAACUGAGACACGGUCCAGACUCCUACGGGAGGCAGCAGUGGGGAAUAUUGGACAAUGGGCGCAAGCCUGAUCCAGCCAUACCGCGUGGGUGAAGAAGGCCUUCGGGUUGUAAAGCCCUUUUGUUGGGAAAGAAAAGCAGCAGGUUAAUACCCCGCUGUUCUGACGGUACCCAAAGAAUAAGCACCGGCUAACUUCGUG